Molecule: ribosomal RNA, 255 nt
Filed under: uncultured bacterium
Lineage: Bacteria
Description: partial 16S ribosomal RNA
Rfam family: Bacterial small subunit ribosomal RNA
Source: RNAcentral
UACGUAGGGGGCAAGCGUUGUCCGGAAUUAUUGGGCGUAAAGAGCGUGUAGGCGGCCAGAUAAGUCCGCUGUGAAAUCUCGAGGCUCAACUUCGAGCUGGUCGGUGGAAACUAUCUGGCUAGAGUCCGGAAGAGGAGAAUGGAAUUCCUGGUGUAGCGGUGAAAUGCGCAGAUAUCAGGAAGAACACCCGUGGCGAAGGCGGUUCUCUGGGACGGUACUGACGCUGGAGACGCGAAAGCGUGGGGAGCGAACAGG